RNAcentral lists this transfer RNA (58 nucleotides) under Vitis vinifera (wine grape). It matches the Rfam family "tRNA", at positions 8 to 63 of the family's 71-position model. From Rfam's summary of the family: Transfer RNA (tRNA) molecules are approximately 80 nucleotides in length. Their secondary structure includes four short double-helical elements and three loops (D, anti-codon, and T loops). Lineage: Eukaryota; Viridiplantae; Streptophyta; Magnoliopsida; Vitales; Vitaceae. The record is from Rfam by way of RNAcentral.
UAGCUCAGUUGGUUGAGCACAAGGUUCUUAACCUUGUGGUCAUUGGUUCGAGCCCCAU